AGCAGCCGCGGUAAUUCCAGCUCCAAUAGCGUAUAUUAAAGUUGCUGCAGUUAAAAAGCUCGUAGUUGAAUUUCGGGAUCGAUAUAUCGGUCGUGCCUCGGUACGUACUGGUAUUUUCGGUUUCUACCUUCUGACGAACCUUGAUGUCAUUAAUUUGGUGUCUUGGGGAAUCAGGACUGUUACUUUGAAAAAAUUAGAGUGUUUAAAGCAGGCUCACGCUUGAAUACAUUAGCAUGGAAUAAUGAAAUAGGACGUUUGAUUCUAUUUUGUUGGUUUCUAGGAUCGACGUAAUGAUUAAUAGGGAUAGUUGGGGGCAUUAGUAUUCAAUUGUCAGAGGUGAAAUUCUUGGAUUUAUUGAAGACUAACUACUGCGAAAGCAUUUGCCAAGGAUGUUUUCAUUAAUCAAGAACGAAAGUUAGGGGAUCGAAGACGAUCAGAUACCGUCGUAGUCUUAACCAUAAACUAUGCCGACUAGGGAUCGGAUGAUGUUAAUUUUUAAUGACUCAUUCGGCGCCUUACG
This 520-nucleotide ribosomal RNA is filed under the name uncultured Glomus. RNAcentral's name for it is "SSU rRNA". It matches the Rfam family "Eukaryotic small subunit ribosomal RNA", at positions 569 to 1092 of the family's 1831-position model. The record is from RNAcentral. Lineage: Eukaryota; Fungi; Glomeromycota; Glomeromycetes; Glomerales; Glomeraceae.